This is a long non-coding RNA of Papaver somniferum (opium poppy), 1816 nucleotides long. RefSeq lists it as uncharacterized. The record is from RefSeq and is a predicted model, not a curated record. NCBI's taxonomy places the organism in Eukaryota, Viridiplantae, Streptophyta, Magnoliopsida, Ranunculales, Papaveraceae. The transcript has 4 exons.
UCGAAACUGCUCCAUCUUCUUCUUCAGUCCACCCCCAUCACCAUCACCAUCACCAUCCACAAAUAUUGGAAUUGAUUAUUAUCUCGAACCUGUGAGUGACGCACAGAUUUAAACAAGAAAAUAGAGACAAAUUUGUUUCUGAAGAUGAUUGAUUUCAAGGGUUUGAUGGAUUUCUGAAGUUGAAUGAAGAACAGAUUGGGGACUUGGUGCUGAUUCAAGUUGUUUGAGUGAUGCUGAUGUCGAAUUGAAGAAAGAGGAAAGAGGGAAUUGCUGAUUGUUAAAAGAAAUUAAGGUUUGAGUUAUGAUGAUUCUGUAAUCGAGACAAAGAUGGAGAUCGAGAACAUGAGUUGAAGUUCUGAGAUGAAAGAAUAAUUGGGUCUGUGAAACUGAAUUUGGUGGUGAGCUAGGUCAGGUGAAGAUUGAGAUGUUACAGGGAAGAUGGAGACUGGAAGGAAGAGAAGAUGAACUGUUGGUCUUGUUAACUGGUUAUGCAGUUGAGAGUUAACAGGCGGAAUUGGUACUGGUGGUACGGAAACAGAACUGAAAUUGUUAAUUGAGUAUGAAAUGGAAUGAGAUUCUAGCUGCUAGUGAUGACUGAGCAGAUACAGGAAAGUAUGGUUAUUUGCAGUCGAAUUGAAGCUGAGAAUAAAUGGUUAUGAAGCUACAGAGUAAUUAACUGAGCAGGUGUUGGUCCAUAUGCAUUCUCAGAAUUACAAGUACACCAGUAACCUAUCAAGGUUUCAGGACAAUUGUUACAUCUGUAUCAUGUUCAUAGUGCUCUUAUGAGCUAUUGAACCAUCUACUUAGUUGUAUUUACUUCGCCUGAGCAGAGCAUUUCAAGAAUGGAUACAUCUCCGAGAGUAAGCUAUUAUGGGCUGAAGGAAGAGCCGAGUGACUGCCGUUGUCAUCGAUCCCAGACUGUUCACAGGAAUAUCUACUAUUACAGCAGCGACUUCUGACAAUGAUGAUGAGUUCUCCAAAUGGCAGGAGGAGGUUAGGAAAGCGGAACUCGAAGCUGAGGCUUUGAAGCAUGGCUUAAAAUUAAAUGAUGUUGGUGGCUCAGAUCACUUGAAAGACUUGGAGGGGGGUGUUGACGAAAGGCCUUCCACACCACCUGAUGCCGAGGAAGAAUUCACUGACGAUGAUGGAAAUUGUGUACAAGUGGGACAGAGGUCUUAGAGCAUGGGUUCCCCAAAUAAAUGUCAAAGAAAGCACAAAAAGCAAAUAAUAUGUGGUGGCGUCUGAGUGGAGUUCUAGGUGAUCAGAAUCGUAUGCUCAUGUAUAUCCUGUUCCAAGCUGCAUUCACAGUUGCCACAAUGGCUUUAACUGUGCCAAUAUUUCUGUCUUAUGAAUUGCAUGUGAUUUUCCAAAUACUCAAAGUCUCAGCAUCUAUAUGGAAUGGAGGAAUCAUUUUAUUAGAGGUGAUGCCCUGCAGGCAAGUCAUAAUGAAGGAGAAGAAGAAACUUGAAAUGGUGCCAUUGCCAGUCCAACCCGAUCAGCCUGCUACUGUCUCAACCUAAAUUCCCACAGAACUACAGCUUCACAGAGUCCGACAACCAGUCAGAAUAGCCUUGUAUAAAAGAAAAGGACUUGUAAAAUUUCGUUUUCGCUACUGCUAGAAAAGUUUAGUUAGUACACCUAUGACUGAUAUCUUGGGAUUUUGGAUUUUGAGGUGUGGAAAGUUUAGUUUUGAACUCGAGCCGUAGAAAUCAAAUAACAGCAUAUCAAAUCUCCUUUACAAUUUUUCCUGAACAUCUCUUUUACAAAAAAAAUAAAUUCAUUUACUUUUUUUUUAUAAGAAAAAGGAGGAUAAACU